RNA transcript from Anopheles stephensi (Asian malaria mosquito), 6546 nucleotides. It is a transcript of the gene named dipeptidyl peptidase 4, with no coding region annotated. The record is from RefSeq and is a predicted model, not a curated record. The transcript is spliced from 17 exons. NCBI's taxonomy places the organism in Eukaryota, Metazoa, Arthropoda, Insecta, Diptera, Culicidae.
AGAGCGAAAGCAGGCAGUGCGGUGUGAGCAAGAAAGAGCAGGCGGAGAAAGCCGAUCAGGAUUCCAAAGCACCGCGAGAGUGAAAAUGAGCCCCGCUGCUGCUGCAUGCGAAAACGAGCUGUACAGAUGUACACAGGAAGCGAAGGAUACUACGAUUUUUUCCAUCAAGAGCAGCAACCCAAGCGAGUGAGAGUGUUGCUAAACGUGCGGAGUAAGCGCGUCGAAAAUUUGGGAGCGAACCGUUUGGCGGUGGUGUCCCUCGAAUAUCCCGGUCCGUCGGUGCUUCAUGAGUGCUCGGUUCCUCGCGGGUUCUUAUGCUGGGGUCGGGUCGGUUUACUCGGGGUUAUGCCGCGGCCAGUGCGCAGGUCCGGUGCUUCUAGUGUACUUCAUCAGCCCGCUCCCGUGUCUGCUCCACCAGGCUGUUCGUCGGUGGACUUGGUGGAGGCAAGAAGCCGAACGCGUUUUGUCCUAGGAAUGGACACUGAAGCUCGACAACGACAACAUUUGCUCUCCUACCUAAGUUGAGUGUGUGUGUGUGUGUGUGUGACAGCGUCACCAAAUCGGUAGGAAAAAACGAAGAAUUUAUAAAUGUACGACAGGACUGAAUUCAAAGACGAUCAAACCAAAGCAAGAAGAAAUCGUGGCGGGUUUUCGAAACUAUAGCACCUCGGAAUUCUGUAAUGCACGCAAAUGUGCAUACAGAUCGGGCCGGGGGCGGCGGAGGAUCGUGGCGGCUGCCGCCAGAUGAAACACUGCAGGUGGCCGACCCGAAACAGAAGGAAGAACAGGAUUUAUUUCCUGCCGAAGGACACAACUGGAGAAGCAUUGUGUUUUCGCUGCUAGUGAUAGGAUUUGUCAUAACCGGUAUAAUAACGGCAAUAUAUCUGCUCGGCUAUGUUGACGAACUGCUCUACUGGUCGGGGCGACGGAUGAAGUUGGACGAGUUUCUGCAGAAAGAUAUAACGCCUCAGAGGCUACCUUCGGUGUGGAUCAACAAUCAGAAAUUUGUAUUCCAGGCGGAUGAUGGAGGCCUUGCUGUUUUCGACACUGCCACCAACAGUGUAGCCACGCUAGUAACAAAUCAUACUUUGCGACAAAUUAACGUUAAAGGCUACCACUGUUCUCAUGAUUUGAAGUACGUUUUGUUUAAGCACAAUGUAAAGAAGCAUCAUAGGUUAUCUUUCACGGCUUUGUAUACUGUAUAUGACGUAUCGAAUGACCACCAUAUGCCGGUGCGAUUGAAAGAAUCCCCCAAGGUACAACGGGCCCGCCUGCAGCAUGCGUCCUGGGCUGGCAAUACUACCGCUAUGAUAAUAGUGGCCGAGAACGAUAUAUACUUGAGACAAUCACCAUCAGACGAAGAGGUUUAUCGCUUAACUUUCACCGGAGAAGAGAACAGAGUCUAUAAUGGUGUACCUGACUGGUUAUAUCAAGAGGAGAUUUUUGAGUCUUUUAGUGCUUUAUGGACCUCAGUAGAUGGCACGCACCUCAUGUACGCCACGUUUAACGACUCGCGAGUUGGCAUGAUGACUUUCCCUUGGUUCACGUCGAACACCGUCAUUGCGGCAAGCGGCGAAGGCAACCGUGAGCUUUUCCCCGUGUCGAAAACCAUACGCUACCCAACGCCGGGCUCGGUCAAUCCAGAAGUUUCGCUGUGGGUGAUGGAUAUAAGUAAUGUAAGCAAUAUACGAAAAUGGGAAGUAAUCCGUCCAGCUGCUCUCGAAGGACAAGAACACUAUCUGAUAUCGGCUAGCUGGGUAGGCAACUUGAACGAUCACGUGUCGGUGGUGUGGAUGACCCGCUCGCAGAACAUUUCGGUCGUUUCGUCCUGCUACAGUCCCACGUGGAAGUGUGUCGAGCAUCAUUCGGAGCGGGCACCAGAGAACGAAUGGCUUGACAUAUUACCUCAUCCGAUAUUCUCGCCCGAUGGGGACAGCUUUCUGUUUAUGGCGGGCAUCCAGGAGACGGGAACGGAGCAUUUCACCCACAUCAAGCACAUCACAAUCACACAGCAGCGAAUGGCUGUGAUUUCCCACGGUCGCUAUGAGGUGAUUCGCAUACUGGCCUGGGAUACGGUGAACCACCUGGUCUACUAUUUGGGGACGCACGAGAAGAAACCCGGCCAGCAGCAUCUGUACGUGGUGAAGGAUCCUGUCAGUGAGGAGGUGCGAAGGACGGAACCAACCUGCAUCACGUGUGAUCUUAGUGAUGUUCUGUGGGGCAGCCGGUACUAUUACAGCAACUGUUCGUACUUUGAUGCGUUCGUCAGUUCCCAACCGUACGUGGCGCACCACAAAGGAAUAUCCUUCUACAUACUGGAAUGUAAAGGCCCCGGUCUUCCGUUAGCUGUGGUACACGCCGCACACAAUCACAAACUCAUGCGCGUCCUGUACGACACGAGACCAUUCUUCGCGAGCAAACUGAGCGAGCUUGCUUUACCGUCGCAGCGGUCGUUCGAGAUUCCGCUGCCCCAUGGUACGCGAGCGGCAGUACAGCUGCUAUUGCCUCCGAGCUGGCGAGAAGAGCUGCGCGAUGCCGCCUUUCCCGUGCUGGUGGAGGUCAACGGUAAGCCCGGAUCGACGUCCGUGUCGGAAGAGUUCAAAAUCGACUGGGGUACGUACAUGUCUAGCCACAACGACGUCGUGUACAUACGGCUGGACGUGCGUGGUGCUCGCGGGCAAGGCAAACAAGCGCUGUACCGUCAUCUUGGUGGCGUUGAGGUGCAAGAUCAAAUCGCAGUGCUGAGGUACCUCCUGGAUACGCUAAAAUUCCUCGAUGAAACCCGUGUCGGAGUGUGGGGCUGGGGUUACGGGGGAUAUGUCACAGCGAUGAUUCUCGGUUCACAGCAACACGUCUUCAAGUGUGGCAUCUCGGUAUCGCCCAUUACCGACUGGCUGUACUACAAUUCCAUAUUUACCGAGCGAAUCCUCGGUGUGCCGGCCGAAAACUAUAAAGCGUACGUCGAGGCGGACGCAACACAGAAGGGGCGCCAAAUCCCGUCAUACUCGUACUUCCUAAUACACGGCCUAGCCGACGUCACUGCACCGUACCAGCACGGUAUCCAGCUGGCCCGCUCCCUUUCCGAGUCCGGGACGAUAUUUCGCUACUUGGUAAGUGUGAUUGCGCUUCCCACCGCAACGCGACGCGACAAGGGGAUUUAUUUGUGUCGCACCACCUCCGUUUUGCAUACGAUGACCAAUGACCAAAUCGAGCUUAUAACAAAUGUACGGCUAAGAGAGACCAAAGGUUCUGACCGAGCGUCUGUGUGAAAACGAUAGUCGAUUCUACCACCAUUUAACCGACCAUUAAGCGUAACCGCGCGAGCACUGCUUCGAAAUUUAAUGCUUGGCAAGGGACAUCGCUAAUGUGUGGCCGAUUCCUCUGGUGCAGAGCUACGCCGACGAGGGACACGAUCUGACCGGCGUAAUCGAGCACGUGUACCGUUCGAUGGAGGACUUUCUGCGCAACUGUCUGUCGCUCGAUUCCGACGAAGACAAACCGACCGAAUCGCACGUACCCAACGAGUAAGGUUGUGAGGCUGAAGAACAAAAUCCCACAAACAACCAGUGACCCCCCCCCCUCCCCCACCCCCCUGGCGCAAACCAAUUUAAUAUGAAUGUUGUGAGACCCCUUGUGUUUUGCGCUCUUCGUUAUGGGAAACCGAAACUGGUUGUGUUUUGCGUGUGUGUUUUCGAUCUAGUUUUAGGUUCCGCGCCUAGCCGAGUUUGAUUUUCUUUGUGCAAAAGAAAACUUUAUUGCGCCUACGACUAACUACGACUUCGAUUGCCGGUAUGUGUGUGUGUGUGUGUCUCUCUCUCUUUCUCACCACAUUAUAGAUGGACGUACUACAACGUAACUGAUAGGUUCUAAAGACAUAGACAUAUCAGAGAAAUAUGGUAAAAAUAGUAAACUGGAGAGCAAUGCAGAUUUAAAAAAAAGAAAACGAAACAACACACGAAGAAAAACACCCGGAAAUGGUAGUUCAUCAUCAGACACAGACGGAAACACACAUACUCUCUCGUGGUGGUCUCGCGCCAAGGUACUCUAUUUUACAAAAUAGCCGGUUACGAACAUCUGCCGGCAACAAGGCAAAUGCAGACAACCCUCGUAAAAAGGGAGAGCUUUAUUCGAACGACAAUGAAUAGACGCACGCAGGUCACACAGCAACUAAAACUAAAGUCAUCCAAUGACAGCAAACUGGGGUAUAUGCAGGAAGAUUACAGGCAAAAACGGCAGCAAGCAAAGCAAGCAAAACAACAAAAAUGGAAUUAAAAUAGCAAAACGGAAACGAAAUCAAAUCGAAUUGAACACACACACACACACAGAAGAAGAAGAAGGGGGAGAGGAAGAAAAACAAAUAGUCCUACUUACAAUAACGAAACUGAUGAGUGAGUUUUUUCGUCUCCUUUAACUUAACUCUAUUUAAGUGUAACGUUGUAGCAAAUCAAAACAAUGAAAUCGAAAACUAAAACAGCGAAUCAAAAGAAUAGAAAAAAACACACUCACACACACACACGGAACCACCAACACAAAUGCAAAUACGGCAUUUGUGCACACAUACACAACACACAACACUACAGCCGAGAUUUAACAAUAGCAAACUUAACUUUACAAAACAUAGCUCUUAAUUAAAUUGGCGCGCCAUCGCAACACAUGUGCGCGCUGCUCUCGGCCCACGGCGGGUUGGAAAAGGCGAGCACGCUAAGGGGUUUUAGUUUAACGUUAUUACUCGCUAGGUAAGUUAAGUAACAAAGGCAAGGUAAAAUCAACAAGCUGUGCAAAAAGGUAUAUCGUUUAGGGUAAUGCAAAACACACACACACAUACACACACACGAAACGUGCAAUCCGCAAUAUGCAUAAUAUAUAUAUAUAAAGGAAUGAAUCAAAGAAGAACUCACACCCGACUCGUAGCAACUCUUCUUCCCGAUUGUUAUUCGACUUAUUAAGGAUUAGCAUUCGACGCAACGGAGCCCAUACUUAACGACAACAACUGCAAUUAAGAACUCAGAUGGUUUAGCGAACAAGCAUUAGUGUGUGUGCGUGUGUGUGUGCGUGUGUGUGAGUGUCCGUGUAUGUGUCCUUGUUAGGUGCGAAAACGAAGGGUUGUAGGUUGUCCCUUCGAAUGAGAGGCCUGCUAGCGCUAGUGUAGGCAAAGAGAGAGUUUUUAGAGCGUGCCCUCAACAAAAGGCACUCGAGAAAGGAAUUUUGCAUAGUUAUUUCACGUCCUAGUUGUUAGAAUUACUACAGCAAGAGCAAUCGUAAAGCCGUAAAGAAAAAAAAAAGGGCCCGAAAACUCAUUACAAAGAGGGGUUAAAUAAGCAAUUAAGACGGCCGAAGCGAACGGAGAGAGCAAGUGCAUCUGGUGCACUUGCGCUUACAAACGUGUAAAAUAUAUUCAUCGAAACGAAUUCUUCUAACACACACAUACACACACACACAAAGAAAACAAAAAACUGUGGUCGAAAAAACAAAAUGGUGACCGGCCAGCUCCCCGGUAAAAGAAAAUAUUUUGAACACAUGGCACUGGCGCCCCGAUGCAGGGCCCAGAAACGUGUGAGUAGUUUAGGGUGCCGAUUACGGAAAUCAGUACGCAAUCGAUCGUUGCUUCCCUUUUUUUGCCUGUGUUACAAUCAGUUGCGACAUGACAAAAAAUUAGCUCAAAGAAGUCUUCACAAACGUUGAACGAAAUACAGAACAAAUUCUUCCUCCGUGCUUACCAUUCGCACAGUUGCAUCGUUUGCAUUUGUUAGUUCUCAGUUAGAGAACGGUGGGUGAAGUUGUUCAUGCUCUACGUCUUCCUUGUUUGCGAUUUCGAAAUCGCUGUUACAGCUUUUGUUGUUCAGAAACGAGUGUUUGAUUUAAAUCGAACGACGGCAAUCCACGAACUAGCGUACGAUCACGAAGCUCAGAUGGUAGUAAACGCUUCACGAUAUACUAAUACAUGGAGUGUGUGUGUGAGGUUCACACAAUAAGGAAGCAACAUCAGCGUAAAGCGGAAUAAGUAGACGUAAACAAUAGGAUGAACGAGAGAGUGCACACACCGUCUCACACAAACACACACAUAGGAAAUGAAAAUAAUUGUUGUGCCAUUCUAUUGUAAACAUGAGAGUAAAACACACAUAUUAACACGCACACACACACACACACAAGCAUAGAAAGGUGUCCUAUAGACACGUCAGUCAAAGUCACACAAACAACACUUCAACAAACAAAAAUGAAGAAAAAUCGAUACACCGAAAAAAAGGAAACGAAACAACACUACACUUCAAAUAUUGAACACAGCAAUGAAAGGAAGAGAAAAAGAGACAGAGAGAGAGAGAGAGCGAGAAGUAGAAGAAAAAACCACAGAGACACAGAGAAAAAGGAAUAAGAUAAUCAUAAUUUAUGCUUCCCAGCAAGUUUUCAUUACAUAAUGGUUGUGAAAUUGAGAAUAGACGAGACAAACAAAAAGCUAAAGAAAGAAAGAAAGAAAGAAAGAACAAAAAAAAACAAACAAGCAAAAAAAAAAAAACAAAAUAAAAAUCGUGGAGCUGUGUGUUAGCUAAA